CACUAUAGAUCAUUUAGGAAAAAUAACAUCCGAGUUUCAUGUUAAAUCUGGUGGUUGUGGUGGUGUUGCUUUUUGAUUGUUCGGUUUUUUAUGGUCUACAAUGGUUAGGUAAUUUCUUGAGCUUUUGAUUUUACAGUAACUUCCCCUUAUUUUGUAGACUCAUUUGUUGUGAUUAUUGUUUGAUUCUUGUGUUUCCUGUACUAUUAUUUCCACUUGUAGUGAAAUGUUUGGUAAAAGUGGUUAAUUAAUAGAAAUCCGAGAUCCAUUGAUAGAUGUCGCAGGCAAGUUCCGAUUUCGGUGGUCUCUCAUGGCAGCGAUGGUGGUGUUGUGUGUUUCUCACCUUCAUCUGUCGACCAUCUUAGUUUUUGUUCAAUUAGGUUUCUCACCUUUUAUGAUUUUUUGUGGUGUUUCUAUGCAUGUGGAUGUUAGUACUAUGCCGAUCUCUGCAUGGAAUAUUUGAACUUCUUAAUUUUUAACAUCGAAUCUGGGUUUGCCUUUUUUAGCGUUGCUGUAAGUGGGUUGCAAUUGUUAAUGAUAUUUCGAUGUGUCUUUUAAUGCAUGCCUGAGGAUCUUCGGAGGCCGUUUGGACACUUUGGUCCUUUAAAGGACAAUUACUUGCCAAGGGAUUAUUAUAGCGGGUAAGCUGGUGGUUGUAGCCUUAAUUUCUAUAAUUUUAGUUAUAUCGUCAGUUGUUUUUGCCGAGGAAAAUCGAAAGAAACCAACUGAUAUGAGAAUGAGAGGGCGGAGGUAAGUUAUUGAUUUGGCGAAAUUUAGAUAAUGGGUCAAAAGGGUUUCAGGUUGAAGUAAGUUUUUUUUUUGGUAACGGGUCAGGUUGGUUUGACAGGUUAACAUAUUUUUCAUUUUAUAUAAAUAGUUAAUGAGUGCUAUAUGGUUUUGAUUUUUGUAACUGUUAUUACUAUAAUUAAGUACUUAAUUAGAAUUGAACUUUGGUAGAAUUCUCAACCUUUUGACCAGACUGACCUAUUCGUAAGUUGGUCGAAAUUGCUUUUAUUUUUGUUUGUUUGUCUGCAGUUAAUGUGGUAAAAUAUCGGAUAUCGGCGAAGGACCGAUUUGACAGAUAUUUGAGAUAUAAGUUAUCUUGAGGUGGUGGCAGAUAUAAUGACCGCAGACGAUCACGACCACGUCGCUACCCUCGUUCACCUUGUUGCUACUUGCGCUCUCCGCCUCCUCGACAUGGCAGAUCGCGUUCCCGCAGCCGUGAGUACUCGCCUGCUCCCAAGAGAAAGCAUCACUUGAGGUCUAUUUCACCUCGCGGAAAAAGGUACAGUUGAGAUAGGUCAUAUUCACCCUCGCCAGCGAGAGAGGGUUCUCCACCUUACCACGGUGGGUCCAGGAGUCGUAGUCAAAGUCCUGUUAAGGACAGGUCUCCUCCACCCUAUAAUGGCUCAAGGAGUCCAAGCCCGGGUCCCGAAAGAGCGAGAUUGCCGCCAACGAGCCAAAGCCCAAGCAGAAGCCAAAGUCGAAGCCCUGAUCUACGCGACCGAGGAUAGGGUUUCAUGAUAAAGGAAGAGCGGUGAUUGGCAGUGGUGUUGAGCUCCAGUAACAGCGGAAACCUCAUGCAAGUGCAGCAUUGUAUGGACCCAAUAAAAAACCGAACAUAGUGUUUUUGGUGCUUUAGGGUGUUUGUUUCGCUUUUCGUGUUUAUCAGAUGAUGAUAUCAGACGAAGAAGCCUGACCUCGAGGAUUGACGUUAAAAUUUUCCUGAUGGGUACAUAUCAAAACACCGUCCAGGUUAGUACAUUACGGGUCAAGUUUGGAUCUCGACUCAUAAGUCACAUGUUGGAAAGAAAAAAGAUGGGGUCAAGUUUCAAAGAUACAACUUUGUUGACCAUUUGGGGUCAAAAUCUGGCAAAAAAAAAAAACUGGUUUGUUCCAGAAAGAUGAUACUGGCGCAAUGGGGUAUCGUCUCUUCGCUAUUAGAACCGAGUUGACUAACAGCGCCAAGCCGCCACGCAGCUAUGACUUCGAAGUGUUAACAAUCGGCGUCAGUAGUGGCGGCGUAAGAGCUUCUCGUUUUACCGCCAAUUUUGGGGCUUUAGUUGCUGUUUCGAGCUUCCGUUUGCUACUAUAUCUUCUGAGACUAUCGCAAAUGUAGGCGUAGGCGGAACAUAAGUUUCUAAUUUUAUUGUUUUAUUUUUUAAAUUAGUUAUAGUUGGUGUUGUUACAAUAACAGGGGUCUUGAUACUAGAUUUUAUUAGGUUUAUGAUGCUUAAAAAGUAUUGUAAUCGAGUUACUAUGAUAUUUAUUGUGUUCCUAUCAACGAGUUAAGACUAUGUUGGUGAUUA
Helianthus annuus (common sunflower) is the source of this 2306-nucleotide long non-coding RNA. RefSeq lists it as uncharacterized. The transcript has 5 exons. The record is from RefSeq and is a predicted model, not a curated record. Lineage: Eukaryota; Viridiplantae; Streptophyta; Magnoliopsida; Asterales; Asteraceae.